Molecule: ribosomal RNA, 253 nt
Filed under: uncultured bacterium
Lineage: Bacteria
Description: partial 16S ribosomal RNA
Rfam family: Bacterial small subunit ribosomal RNA
Source: RNAcentral
UACGUAGGGGGCUAGCGUUGUCCGGAAUCAUUGGGCGUAAAGCGCGCGUAGGCGGCCCGGUAAGUCCGCUGUAAAAGUCCAGGGCUCAACCCUGGAACGCCGGUGGAUACUGUCGGGCUAGAGUCCGGAAGAGGCGAGUGGAAUUCCUGGUGUAGCGGUGGAAUGCGCAGAUAUCAGGAGGAACACCGAUGGCGAAGGCAGCUCGCUGGGACGGUACUGACGCUGAGGCGCGAAAGCUAGGGGAGCGAACUGG